GUGAGGAAUAUUGCGCAAUGGAGGCAACUCUGACGCAGCCAUGCCGCGUGCAGGAAGAAGGCGCUACGCGUUGUAAACUGCUUUUAACCGGGAAGAAACCCCAGGACGUGUCCUGGGUUGACGGUACCGGAGGAAUAAGCACCGGCUAACUUCGUGCCAGCAGCCACGGUAAUACGAAGGGUGCAAGCGUUAUCCGGAUUCAUUGGGUUUAAAGGGUGCGUAGGCGGAGCGUUAAGUCAGUGGUGAAAUCCUGCAGCUUAACUGUAGACUUGCCAUUGAUACUGGCGCUCUUGAGUGCGCUUGAAGUGGGCGGAAUGUGCCGUGUAGCGGUGAAAUGCUUAGAUAUGGCACAGAACACCAAUUGCGAAGGCAGCUCACUAAGGCGAUACUGACGCUGAGGCACGAAAGCGUGGGGAUCGAACAGGAUUAGAAACCCCGGUAGUCC
RNAcentral lists this ribosomal RNA (445 nucleotides) under uncultured bacterium. Its description in RNAcentral is "partial 16S ribosomal RNA". It matches the Rfam family "Bacterial small subunit ribosomal RNA", at positions 354 to 796 of the family's 1533-position model. The record is from RNAcentral.